CAAGUGAAUAAGGGCUUAUGGUGGAUACCUAGGCAUUCAGAAGCGAUGAAGGGCGUGGUUACCAACGAAAUACCUCGGGGAGUUGGAAACAAACUAAGAUCCGGGGGUUCCCGAAUGAGGAAACUUUUUAAACUAUUUAUUGAAUAUAUAAAUAAAUAAGAGCGAACCUAGCAAAUUGAAACAUCUUAGUAGCUAGAGGAAAAGAAAGCAAAAGCGAUUCCCUUAGUAGCGGCGAGCGAAAUGGGAUCAGCCUAAACUAUUUAAAUUACUUAAAUAGGGUUGUGGGACAGAAACAUAGAAUUACAAAGGCUAGGUGAAAUAAAUGGAAUUUUAUAUCAUAGAAGGUGAAAAUCCUGUAACUGAAAGCUUGAACUAAUCUUAUCUGUAUCCCGAGUAGUAUGGGGCACGUGAAAUCCCGUAUGAAUCAGCGAGGACCACCUCGUAAGGCUAAAUAUUACUGAAUGACCGAUAGUGAAACAGUACCGUGAGGGAAAGGUGAAAAGAACCCCGUGAGGGGAGUGAAAUAGAACAUGAAACCAUAGGCUUACAAGCAGUAGGAGAACGACUAAACGUUUGACUACGUGCAUGUUGAAGAAUGAGCCGGCGACUUACAGGUAGUGGCUAGGUUAAAGUAGAGAAUACUGGAGCCAUAGUGAAAGCGAGCCUGAAUAGGGCGAAUGUCACUAUUUGUAGACCCGAACCCGGAUGAUCUAGCCAUGGCCAGGAUGAAGCUUGGGUGACACUAAGUGGAGGUCCGAACCGACUAAUGUUGAAAAAUUAGCGGAUGAGUUGUGGCUAGGGGUGAAAUGCCAAUCGAAUCCGGAGCUAGCUGGUUCUCCCCGAAAUGUGUUUAGGCGCAGCGACUAGUGCUCCAACUUAGGGGUAAAGCACUGUUUCGGUGCGGGCUGCGAAAGCGGUACCAAAUCGAGGCAAACUCUGAAUACUAAGUGUGUAACUAGUCAGUGAGACAGUGGGGGAUAAGCUUCAUUGUCAAAAGGGAAACAGCCCAGAUCACCAGCUAAGGCCCCUAAAUAAAUACUAAGUGAUAAAGGAGGUGGAAAUACAUAGACAACCAGGAGGUUUGCUUAGAAGCAGCCACCCUUUAAAGAGUGCGUAAUAGCUCACUGGUCUAGUGUUUCUGCGCCGAAAAUGAAUGGGGCUAAGUAUUUUGCCGAAGCUGUGGGAUGUUUUACAUCGGUAGGGGAGCGUUCUAUAUUAGGUUGAAGCAUUAGCGGAAGCGGAUGUGGACGAAAUAGAAGUGAGAAUGUCGGCUUGAGUAGCGAAAACAUUGGUGAGAAUCCAAUGCCCCGAAAAUUCAAGGUUUCCUUCGGAAGGCUCGUCCACGAAGGGUAAGUCAGGACCUAAGAUGAGGUUGAAAAACGUAAUCGAUGGACAACGGGUUAAUAUUCCCGUACUGCUUCUAUUGGUAUCGAGGGACGGAGAAGGCUAAGUUAGCCGAAUGUUGGUUAUCGGUUUAAAUAUGCAAGGUUUUGAAAAGUGGAGAAAACACUUUGAGCUAACAUAUGAGUACAAAAUAUCUAAGAUAUUAAAGUAACUGAUGUCAUACUUCCAAGAAAAGCUCGAAAUACCAUAAAUAGAAAGUACCUGUACCCUAAACCGACACAGGUGAAUAAGUAUAGCAUACUAAGGGGCGCGAGAUAACUCUCUCUAAGGAACUCGGCAAAAUGACUCCGUAACUUUGGAAGAAGGAGUACCCUGCAAAGGGUUGCAAUAACCAGGCCCAAGCGACUGUUUACCAAAAACACAGGUCUCCGCAAAAUCGUAAGAUGAAGUAUGGGGGCUGACGCCUGCCCAGUGCCGGAAGGUUAAGGAAGUUGGUUAGUCAAUAGAUAAAGCUGAUGACUGAAGCCCCGGUGAACGGCGGCCGUAACUAUAACGGUCCUAAGGUAGCGAAAUUCCUUGUCGGGUAAGUUCCGACCCGCACGAAAGGCGUAACGAUUUGGGUACUGUCUCGGAGAGAGACUCGGCGAAAUAGACAUGUCUGUGAAGAUGCGGACUACCUGCACCUGGACAGAAAGACCCUAUGAAGCUUUACUGUAGCUUGGAAUUGAGUUUAAGUUUUUUCUGCGCAGUAUAGGUGGGAGGCUUAGAGAAUAUUCUUGCGGGGAUGUUUGAGCCAUCAGUGAGAUACCACUCUGAAAAAUCUGGAAUUCUAACCUUGUAUGCCGUUAUCCGGCCAAGGGACAGUUUCUGGUGGGCAGUUUGACUGGGGCGGUCGCCUCCUAAAAGGUAACGGAGGCGUGCAAAGGUUCUCUCAGGCUGGUCGGAAAUCAGUCGUAGAGUGUAAAGGCAUAAGAGAGCUUGACUGCGAGACAUACAAGUCGAGCAGAGACGAAAGUCGGCCUUAGUGAUCCGACGGUUCCGAGUGGAAGGGCCGUCGCUCAACGGAUAAAAGUUACUCUAGGGAUAACAGGCUGAUCUCCCCCAAGAGUUCACAUCGACGGGGAGGUUUGGCACCUCGAUGUCGGCUCAUCGCAUCCUGGGGCGGUAGUACGUCCCAAGGGUUGGGCUGUUCGCCCAUGAAAGCGGUACGUGAGCUGGGUUCAGAACGUCGUGAGACAGUUCGGUCCAUAUCCGGUGUAGGCGUUAGAGCAUUGAGAGGAUCUCUCCUUAGUACGAGAGGACCGGGAGAGACGCACCGCUGGUGUACCAGUUAUCAUGCCAAUGGUAAACGCUGGGUAGCUAUGUGCGGAACAGAUAACCGCUGAAAGCAUCUAAGUGGGAAGCUAGCCUCAAGAUGAGUGCUCUCAUCGUUUUAAACGAGUAAGAUCACGGUAAGACUAACCGUUGAUAGGCGCUAAGUGUAAGUAUAGUAAUAUAUUCAGCUGAGGCGUACUAACAGAUCGAG
Molecule: ribosomal RNA, 2869 nt
Filed under: Tsunamia transpacifica
Lineage: Eukaryota; Rhodophyta; Stylonematophyceae; Stylonematales; Stylonemataceae
Description: large subunit ribosomal RNA
Rfam family: Bacterial large subunit ribosomal RNA
Source: RNAcentral